CUCGUAGGUUGCCAACUAAGUCAGACGUGAAAUCCCUCGGCUUAACCGGGGAACUGCGUCUGAUACUGGAUGGCUUGAGUUUGGGAGAGGGACGCGGAAUUCCAGGUGUAGCGGUGAAAUGCGUAGAUAUCUGGAGGAACACCGGUGGCGAAGGCGGCGUCCUGGACCAACACUGACACUGAGGAGCGAAAGCCAGGGGAGCAAACG
Molecule: ribosomal RNA, 207 nt
Filed under: uncultured bacterium
Lineage: Bacteria
Description: partial 16S ribosomal RNA
Rfam family: Bacterial small subunit ribosomal RNA
Source: RNAcentral